GACCGGAUAAACGGACGAGUUGGGUAACCGGCGGACGGGUUAUUAUACCCGUAGAUUACUUGAGCAUGGAUAAAAUUUACCUACAAAUUUUUGAAAAGCUAAUAUCUUUACUCAUACCCGUCCGCGGGUAGGCGGGUGGGUAUGUGGAUUAUCUGUAAUUUUUAAUUUUUUGCUGUUAUAUUUUUUAAAUAUAAAACAUAUAUAUAUAUAAGUUUUAAAAGCAUAAUAUAACUCAUUGCUUAAAAUAUUAUAAUAAAACAUAUAUAUAUAUAAGUUUUAAAAGCAUAAUAUAACUCAUUGCUUAAAAUAUUAUAACAUACAAUAAAAAUAUUUAAAGCUUAAAGCAAAAAUAUUUCAUAACGCAAUGAAAAAUUAGAAUUAGAUUUUUUAGGAUAAGUAAAUAAAAAAUAUAUAUUAAUUGAGAAAAUAUAUUCUGUAACUAAAAAAUAUAUGUACGGGUAUCCGUGAGUACGUGCGGGUUAUUCAAAAUGCCCACUGCUUAAUGGGUGCAAAUCUGUAAAUUUUUGGAUUGAAAAAAUUAGUAUCCAUACCCGUAAAUUUAUGAAUAACCUGCGAAUAACCGCAGGUCUGAAUCAAGAUUACC
This 604-nucleotide long non-coding RNA is filed under the name Ananas comosus (pineapple). RNAcentral's name for it is "long non-coding RNA (ACOM_LNC009531)". The record is from RNAcentral. Lineage: Eukaryota; Viridiplantae; Streptophyta; Magnoliopsida; Poales; Bromeliaceae.